Molecule: unclassified non-coding RNA, 328 nt
Filed under: soil metagenome
Description: partial contains 5.8S ribosomal RNA, internal transcribed spacer 2, and large subunit ribosomal RNA
Rfam family: 5.8S ribosomal RNA (bases 1-121)
Source: RNAcentral
GAUGAAGAACGUAGCGAAAUGCGAUAAGUAAUGCGAAUUGCAGAAUUUCCGUGAGUCAUCGAAUCUUUGAACGCACAUUGCGCCCCUUGGUAUUCCGAGGGGCAUGCCUGUUCGAGCGUCAUUUUGACCACUCCCGCUUGCGGGGUCUUGGGCCUUCGCCUCUGGGCGGGCCUUAAAAUCAGUGGCGGUGCCGUCCGGCUCUAAGCGUAGUAAAUCUCCUCGCUAUAGGGUUCCGGAGGGAUGCUGGCCAACAACCCCCAACUUUUAAGGUUGACCUCGGAUCAGGUAGGGAUACCCGCUGAACUUAAGCAUAUCAAUAAGCGGAGGA